RNAcentral lists this unclassified non-coding RNA (55 nucleotides) under Drosophila melanogaster (fruit fly). RNAcentral describes it as "partial snRNA-c". The record is from RNAcentral. Lineage: Eukaryota; Metazoa; Arthropoda; Insecta; Diptera; Drosophilidae.
NAAAGAAGUAGUCACUGUGGUGCUCCCAUACCAUCUCGAACAAACCAGUGAAGCC